AUAUUUUGGGGGCACACAAUUCAAUCCAUGACACAUACCUUUGUGUGACAUGUGCCUUCCUCGAACCUUGUUACAAUACCAGCGCAUUACCUAUCUGACA
Molecule: small nucleolar RNA, 100 nt
Organism: Trichechus manatus latirostris (Florida manatee)
Lineage: Eukaryota; Metazoa; Chordata; Mammalia; Sirenia; Trichechidae
Product: small nucleolar RNA U13
Exons: 1
Source: RefSeq, a predicted model, not a curated record